Phrynosoma platyrhinos (Desert horned lizard) is the source of this 75-nucleotide non-coding RNA. The record is from the annotation of a GenBank genome assembly. Lineage: Eukaryota; Metazoa; Chordata; Lepidosauria; Squamata; Phrynosomatidae.
GUCUCUGUGGUGCAAUGGGUUAGCGUUGUCUGGCUGUUAACCAGAAGGAUGGUGGUUCAAGCCAGCCUAGGGAUG